CACUACGCAUACCUUAGGUGGAAGAUUCUUGAAGAAAUUCUUAGACAUGUUCUUGAUUCCUUGACUAGGGUUCUUGUUCCUUUGAGAGAAAAUAAAUUGGCUCUUGAGUUUGAAAAACUUGAAUAUCAUAUAUUCUUGAAGAAGGAUUUGAUUCUUGUUAUAGGUUAUGAUCUUGAGAGAAACCCUUCUUUUGAUGUUGAAGAUAAAUGAGGAGUUAUGUUCUUCAAUUGAUGGGAUUUGGGUCUUCAAAUUGAAAUCCUAGCUUGAGUUCUUGAGAGGAUUUUGAGAAGAGGAGUAUAUUUUGCUGCAAAUAAGCCUUUGGGGUAUAUAUAGGGGUAGAAGAUGACCAAAAUACCCCUAAGGAACAAUUGAGGUCAAAUCUGUCCCUAAUUGACUGUCUGAUAGGAUGAAGUAAAUUGAUAAUAACUUUUUACUUAGAUAUCUAAAUUGGAUGAAACUAAUUUCAUUAGAAAGAAGACUCAAAGAGCUUUUCAUUGAUAUAUAGCAGUUCUUCCAGUUUAUUAUAUACAGAAAGUUAUGAUCAUUUGAAGUUGACCCUGAAAUGCUGAAAAAAACUGGGUACAAAGGCUAUAAGAGGGCUCCGCGGCUCAAACACCUUUAGCUACUGGUUCGGGCAACCAAACAUGCCCUUACACUACUAUAAAAAUUCUGAAACUCACUCGGGAUGUACUAAGAGUUUGACCGAUCGUAACACAACUUGAAAAUUGAAAAACGGAGGUCGGAAAGGUCGCCAAAUAAAUCUCCAAAAUUUGGAAGUAUAAAAAUGAGACUAAGUCUUGAGAACUUAGCAAAAUAUUCUAAGUGUUAGAGCUUGUAAAGCUUAAUGAGCUGAAUUUUAGACUUAGGAUUUUACGGGGUCUUACAAUAUCUCUCCCUUGGAAACAUUCGUCCUCGAAUGGAACUGACUGGGAGGGGAAAAGGCCAACUGAACAUGAAUAAAUGGAACAUGAUCUCAUAACUGAAGUGACUGAUGAACUAAAUAUAUCAUACUGAACAUGCAUAUCUGAUGCAUGUAUAACUGAUUUAUGAAUGUAGGACCUAGUGUUCUGGUGAGCUGAGUUUCUCAAACAGGAAUGCAUAUCUGAUGCUUAACUGAUAAGGCGGAUCUAUGCAUAUCUGAUGCAUGUAUAACUGAUUUAUGAAUGUAGGACCUAGUGUUCUGGUGAGCUGAGUUUCUCAAACAGGAAUGCAUAUCUGAUGCUUAACUGAUAAGGCGGAUCUAUGCAUAUCUGAUGCAUGAUUAUAUGACUGACAUGAUACGUGAAUACAUGACUGAAAGUACUGAUGAGUUGAUCACACAUAUCUGAUGCGUGAAUUCAUGACUAAACUUGCUCAUGAACAUGCAAUAGUAAAGGUACCAAGUUUGAACUGAAAAAUGAGCAUGGAACUGAAUACCAAGUUUGGUACUAAAAUAUGAACAUGAGAACGAGUAAGUUUAAGGAAAACUGUUACCUUGAACUGAAAAUACCGAUAAGUUUGAGAUUAAUUACUCCAUAUGCAUGAUCGGAAACAUGAGAACAUAACUGAGUCUGGGAUGUGGUAGAUAAACUGAAUAUUAUGAUCUGAUUGAAUCUUGAAAACAUGGCAUACGACUGAAGUUUGAGUUUGAGGGUUAACUUAUAAGUACCCCUUCUCCAAACUGGAUUCAUCAAAAGAAAAGAGAGCAGCAUGUUUAUGUCAUGAAAGUUUAGGGGUAUGAUGUAUCUCCCCCUUGGGACACUAUGUCCCUCAAAGAAUACUGACUUGGAUGAGCUACUGAGGGGAAUUGAGGCGAUGCGCAAGACACCUAGGAACUGAGUCAUGACUGAAUAGCUAGGAUCUGAAACUAAGACAUGAUACAUGAAUUGAGCUAAACACGAGUGCAUAAAUAUACUAACUUAUCUGAUUAAUUAAAUAAUUGAUAGCUGAAUACUGGAUCUGCAAAGCUAAACUGUACUUAGUCUGAAUAGCUGGGCUGAGAUUUUUGAGUUUUAUGCAUAGGAGAUAAGGACUAACUGAGUAGAAUAAGGUAUCUGAGCAUGGAUUCAUGAAGUUUGUAUUAUUUGCAAAUACGAGAUCAAGCGUACGACAUGGAUCUGAGGUAUUCUAUAAAUUGGAGUACUGAAACACUGAUAACUGAGUACUGACAACCUGAAUGCUAUGGUCAAGCAUGUCUGGAGCUGAACUGAUUUUCAAAUAUGGUUACUAAACUGAAGAUAACAUUAUAACUAAGCCUAUAGCUAGUACAGAAGUACUGAAUUCUGAGGCUAAGUAACUGGUAACUGAAGCCAUGGUUCUGUAGGACUAUCUGAGUCCUUUACUAAAUAUUGAUUUCUGAACUAUCGCUGUAACUGAGUUUUAGACUGAUACUAAAGUAUUGAAUUCAAGGACUGAACACUGAUCACUGAGUGAUGGAUACUAAAACUAUAAUUGAGUUGGCAACUGAGUUUUUGAUGGCUACAUGUUGGGGACUAACAUAAGUCAAGGAUCUAAAUGUACACUUACACUUUGUACUUUCCCAACUUCUAAAUACAACCCCUUUAUAGAUGUUUACUUGCAUAUUUAUCAUGACAUUCAAGCCUACCUUCACAACUACACCCUCGUGCAAAGUAAACAUGCAACAAUCUUCUCUUAUCUAAACAACUGCUCAUCAUGACAUUGUUCCAUAAGGAGAGCUAACUGGAGGAGUAAAUCAGGAGGACCUGAAACAUGAAUAGAUACAAACUAAACUUGACACAUGACUGAAACUUGAGGAAUAAAAUAUCAAUAGUUUGGAUUUACCAAUAAGGUCUGAACUGAGGAUAUACAUGACGUAGUCUAAAUGUAUAUGAUCUGUAGGGGCAUAGCAUAAGUCAUGGAAGCUAAGUAUAAUGGAAAGCAUGAUAUGCGUACAUGAGUCAUGAGCUGCAUGACCUGAGUCUAGAGUUUCUGUACUCGUGAGACAUGAUUCGUAAUACUGAGGGAGCUGGAACUGAACCCCUUAUACUGGGAACUGAAGGCGUACAUAAUCCCAUGGAAAGUGUGUGAAAGUAGAUUGUGCUCAUGGAACAUGAUUCGUACUACGGAGUAAACUGAGACUCCUUAUGCUGGAAAUUAAAUUCAUACAUGAUUAUGAAAAAAGAGAUAGAUAAGCAUGGUUCGUGAUCAUAGAGUUGGUAUGCAAUGCCUGAGUUGGUUUCAUGAUAGCUGAACUAAAAAACUCUGCACUGAGAUGAGAAUGGGUUUGGAAUUGUCUUCCCUUACUGCUUUCUAUACAUACUGGCUCUACUACUGAAAUCUGAGGGCCUGUCUUAGGUACUUGAUCAACCAUCACAUACCUACAUUCUGUUCAACACCUGCCUGUCUUAUUAAACACAUCAUCUGAUUCUGUUUCCUCAUAUAUUGCUAAUAUCACAUUCACACCUUCAUGCUUAAUUUUAAGUCAAUAAACUUAAAUUCUUGCUCGCCUGCUAGCUCUUUUCAAACCUACUAAUUCAUGUUGGUACAACUAUCCCCAUGAAUACAUAAUCUAAUCAGACUAGAAAAUACUAUCCCAACUCAUCUACUGCUAAACUCUUAGGUCCAUGCUUAAAAUUCUAGGUCUAUACUGUCAUAGGAUUCUGAGAAGGGAUCUAACGGUAUAUCAAAAAUUAGAUUUGAGUUUACAAAGGAGUUCUCAUGAUCAUAAAUGAAAUCUGUACAACUUUGGAACAUGACUGAACUGAGGGAAUAUUAUCUGAGCAUGUGGAAAAUCCCAUAACUAUCUCUAGGGACUGCAUGAGAAAGCCCUAUCUUUAGGACUUGAGCUUCACUGUUUCUGUUACCUUGAAAGUAAGGAAAGGUUGACAUGAGGGGAUCCUGAUGUGAAUCUACAUGGGUUCCUUAGAGAAACUUGCUAUAGCACGAUCUUGAGACAUGAAAGAAGGGAAACUGUUUCUAAAAUAUCUCAUAGCCUCCUACACAGAAGUGUGGUGCACAACACGCCCAUGUACAAGACUCUACUUGAUACAGUUUUCAGACUUCCUAGGACACUGUUGAACCUUAAGCUCUGAUACCAAGUUUGUAACACCCUGAUUUUUUGAACCAAAAUGCUACACGGUGCUCAUGACCCCGAAGGACCACAAGCUAACCCAUGACUGAUAUCUGUACCUGUAAACUGCAUAAUAUCUCAUAAAAUAUGCAGAAACAUGAACUGUAAGGCCAUAAGGUUCAAUACAAUAUUGUCCUCGAAUGAAGAGGAGCACUGACUGCUAAAAUCUGCAAUGCUACUGCUGCUCUAAAACUCGUUCCUCUAUACCUAUGGCGUCAAAUAAAAUACCAUAACAUGAAUGCGUUAUUACGAUUGAAUGUACUGAGUAUACGAGUGAGGUAGGCUAAAUACAAAGGAUUUUAUAUGCAUGAACAAUGCUAACUGAAAUGAACGUGAGAAUACAUACAUACAUACAUAACUGUAACUAAACUCAUGGUGGUACUGACUACUGAGUUUGAAUACUAACAACAUGAGUUUACUGAUGCUGAGAUACUGAAUGACUGAGUUUACUGAUAUUGAGAUACUGAAUGACUGAGUUUACUAAUAUUGAUAUGUAAUUCACUAAUAAGUGAGGAACUGAUAUUGUAUUACUGAAUACUGGGAGACUGAUACUAUAUUACUGAUAAAGGAAUGAUUGUUUCUGANNNNNNNNNNNNNNNNNNNNNNNNNNNNNNNNNNNNNNNNNNNNNNNNNNNNNNNNNNNNNNNNNNNNNNNNNNNNNNNNNNNNNNNNNNNNNNNNNNNNNNNNNNNNNNNNNNNNNNNNNNNNNNNNNNNNNNNNNNNNNNNNNNNNNNNNNNNNNNNNNNNNNNNNNNNNNNNNNNNNNNNNNNNNNNNNNNNNNNNNNNNNNAUAUCUGACAGUCCUAAAUCUGAUGAAACUAGCUGAGUUCCAUACUGUAUCUGACAGUCUUGAUAUCCUAAAGAACUAUCUGAGUUCUUUUACUGAAACUGAUACUAAAACUGUGGAAAGUAGUUAUCUAACCGACAUACCCCAAUACACUAUAAUAGCUAAGCUGGGGUCCAAUCUCUACCCUAAUUGGAAGGGUGUCAAUACCACGCCACUGGUAAGGACAAGCUAUGAGUGACCCUCAUUUGAUAAGUACUCCAAUGAGAACGGUGGGAACCCUCAUCUGACAGGUUAAGCCACCUCAUCUACCCUCAACUGACAGGUAUUGAUAUCUCAACCUAUGCUGGCUACAUAGUUCUGAAAUGCAAGGACUGCUUCUAAGAAUCACACCCUCUACUGGCAGGUAAGUUCCCAUUCUUGGGUUCGCUUGGUGCUGAAUACUACUCCCAACUGAAUGACACUGAACUGAUUAUACUGAACUGAUUUCCUAGUUCAUACUAGAAUUAACUGAACUAUUACUGAUUGUUCUGUUUAACUAAACUGAACAUAGACUGAGUUUAUUGAGUUUCGAUAACUAGCGGAACACUACUGAAUUCUGUUAACUGAAUAAAUGCUAUUGAGUUCUGUUAGCUGACUGAGUUUACUAAUGUUUGAACUGAAUACCAAAAUCUUGGAGCAUGAAGACUAGGUACUUGAUCAUCAUUUAUUGGUUGAGGCAUAUUAUUAAACACAUGGUAGGCAUAGCUUUAGCAUGGGAGUCAACUUAAGCACAUGGAUAUGGCAUGGAAUCAUCAUUUAGAUCACAAAUUGAUCAAAGUGCUCAAUUCUUCUUCACUUAGGCAUUUUAACAAACACCUUGCAUGUACUAUUUAGGGCAUAGGCCUAAUGAUCAAUUUUAUACACCAUAAUUCAACUCAAUUCCACCAAUUGAAUCCACAAAAUAUCAUGGUAUCAUGAACAACAUGUAAAGAUUCAAAAUUUAUUCACUACAACAUGGAAUUCACGUGAAAUCAUAAAACAUGAAGUAGGGACUUGUUAAUUGAGCACUCUUAAAUCAUGAAAACAUGAUUAUGCCUAUUCUAGGCAUUUCAUCGAACACCUUGCAUGCACACUUUAUGGCAUAGGUGUUCUUAAUAAUUUAGUCAUCUUAAACCACCCAAUUUCAUGGAUUUUAACUACAAGCACACGUACUUCAUGAGAAUCACCCUAAAUUAACAUCUCGAAGCAUAAACAAUAACCAUCAACAUGUACAUGAUCAAAUCUCAACAAGACAAUCACAAUAUAGUAUUUAAAGCAUGGUUCUUCGACUCCUACGGGUGAAAGGAAUCCGUGGAUGAAUACUACGCAUACCUUAGGUGGAAGAUUUUGAAGAAAUUCUUAGACAUGUUCUUGAGUCCUUGACUAGGGUUCUUGUUCCUUUGAGAGAAAAUAAAUUGACUCUUGAGUUUGAAAAACUUGAAUAUCAUAUAUUCUUGAAGAAGGAUUUGAUUCUUGUUAUAGGUUAUGAUCUUGAGAGAAACCCUUCUUUUAAUGUUGAAGAUAAAUGAGGAGUUAUGUUCUUCAAUUGAUGGGAUUUGAGUCUUCAAAUUGAAACCCUAGCUUGAGCUCUUGAGAGAAU
RNAcentral lists this long non-coding RNA (6473 nucleotides) under Capsicum annuum. Its description in RNAcentral is "long non-coding RNA (CANN_LNC005697)". The record is from RNAcentral. Lineage: Eukaryota; Viridiplantae; Streptophyta; Magnoliopsida; Solanales; Solanaceae.